CGUAGGUGGCAAGCGUUGUCCGGAUUUAUUGGGUUUAAAGGGUGCGUAGGCGGUCUUGUAAGUCAGUGGUGAAAUACGGCAGCUUAACUGUCGAGGUGCCAUUGAUACUGCAGGACUUGAGUACAGACGAGGUAGGCGGAAUUGACGGUGUAGCGGUGAAAUGCUUAGAUAUCGUCAAGAACACCGAUAGCGAAGGCAGCUUACUAGACUGUAACUGACGCUGAUGCACGAAAGUGUGGGGAUCAAACAGGAUUAGAUACCCUGGUAGUCCACACUGUAAACGAUGAUUACUCGAUGUUGGCGAUACACAGCCAGCGUCUUAGCGAAAGCGAUAAGUAAUCCACCUGGGGAUACGCCGGCAACGGUG
This 367-nucleotide ribosomal RNA is filed under the name uncultured organism. RNAcentral describes it as "bacterial SSU rRNA". It matches the Rfam family "Bacterial small subunit ribosomal RNA", at positions 526 to 896 of the family's 1533-position model. The record is from RNAcentral.